This 23-nucleotide non-coding RNA is filed under the name Cricetulus griseus (Chinese hamster). The record is from RNAcentral. Lineage: Eukaryota; Metazoa; Chordata; Mammalia; Rodentia; Cricetidae.
GAAUUGAACUCAGGACCUCUGGA